RNAcentral lists this ribosomal RNA (426 nucleotides) under uncultured bacterium. RNAcentral's name for it is "bacterial SSU rRNA". It matches the Rfam family "Bacterial small subunit ribosomal RNA", at positions 355 to 773 of the family's 1533-position model. The record is from RNAcentral.
UGGGGAAUUUUGGACAAUGGGGGCAACCCUGAUCCAGCCAUUCCGCGUGAGUGAAGAAGGCCUUCGGGUUGUAAAGCUCUUUUGUCCGGAACGAAACGGUUGGCGUGAACAUCGCCGACUACUGACGGUACCGGAGGAAUAAGCACCGGCUAACUACGUGCCAGCAGCCGCGGUAAUACGUAGGGUGCGAGCGUUAAUCGGAAUUACUGGGCGUAAAGCGUGCGCAGGCGGUUUUGUAAGCCAGAUGUGAAAUCCCCGGGCUUAACCUGGGAACUGCAUUUGGGACUGCAAGGCUUGAGUACGGCAGAGGGGGGUAGAAUUCCACGUGUAGCAGUGAAAUGCGUAGAGAUGUGGAGGAAUACCGAUGGCGAAGGCAGCCCCCUGGGCUAACACUGACGCUCAUGCACGAAAGCGUGGGGAGCAAAC